AAUGAAGUUGUACAGGUAGCCAGGUGUCGGUCUCCAGCCUGAGAACUCUGGCUGUUGAUCCUUGUGUCGUCCCAUAUUCCUGCCUGGCCUGCGAUGGACAUCAGCAAGGGCUUCCCAGGCAUGCAGGGAGGCCUCCACAUAUGGAUCUCUGAGAACCGGAAGAUGGUGCCGGUACCCGAGGGGGCUUACGGGAACUUUUUUGAGGAACACUGCUAUGUCAUCCUCCACGUUCCCCAGAGCCCGAAGGCCACUCAGGGGGCGUCCAGCGACCUGCACUACUGGGUCGGGAAGCAGGCGGGUGCGGAAGCGCAGGGCGCUGCGGAGGCCUUCCAGCAGCGCCUACAUGACGAGCUGGGGGGCCAGACCGUGCUGCACCGCGAGGCGCAGGGCCACGAGUCCGACUGCUUCUGCAGCUACUUCCGCCCGGGAAUCAUCUACAGGAAGGGAGGCCUAGCAUCUGACCUCAAGCAUGUGGAGACCAACUUGUUCAACAUCCAGCGACUGCUGCACAUCAAAGGGAGGAAGCACGUGUCUGCCACUGAGGUGGAGCUCUCCUGGAACAGCUUUAAUAAGGGUGACAUCUUCCUGCUGGACCUAGGCAAGAUGAUGAUUCAGUGGAAUGGGCCCAAGACCAACAUUUCUGAGAAGGCUCGGGGGCUGGCCUUGACCUACAGCCUCCGGGACAGGGAACGUGGUGGUCGUGCACAGAUUGGUGUGGUGGAUGAUGAGGCCAAAGCCCCGGACCUCAUGCAGAUCAUGGAGGCUGUGCUGGGCUGCAGGGUGGGCAGCCUGCGUGCCGCCACGCCCAGCAAGGAUAUCAACCAGCUGCAGAAGGCCAAUGUUCGCCUGUACCAUGUCUAUGAGAAGGGCAAAGACCUGGUGGUCCUGGAGUUGGCGACCCCCCCACUGACCCAGGACCUGCUGCAGGAGGAGGACUUCUACAUCCUGGACCAGGGUGGCUUCAAGAUCUAUGUGUGGCAGGGACGCAUGUCUAGCCUCCAGGAGAGAAAGGCUGCCUUCAGCCGGGCUGUGGGCUUCAUCCAGGCCAAGGGCUACCCGACCUACACCAAUGUGGAGGUGGUGAACGACGGCGCCGAGUCGGCCGCGUUCAAGCAGCUCUUCCGGACUUGGUCUGAGAAGCGGAGCAGGAACCAGAAGCUCGGCGGGAGGGAUAAAUCGAUUCAUGUAAAGCUGGACGUGGGCAAGCUGCACACCCAGCCUAAGUUAGCGGCCCAGCUCAGGAUGGUGGACGACGGCUCUGGGAAGGUGGAGGUGUGGUGCAUCCAGGACUUACACAGGCAGCCUGUGGACCCCAAGCGUCAUGGACAGCUGUGUGCAGGCAACUGCUACCUUGUGCUCUAUACAUACCAGAGGCUGGGCCGUGUCCAGUACAUCCUGUACCUGUGGCAGGGCCACCAGGCCACUGCGGAUGAGAUUGAGGCCCUGAACAGCAACGCUGAGGAACUAGAUGUCAUGUAUGGUGGCGUCCUAGUACAGGAGCAUGUGACCAUGGGCAGCGAGCCCCCCCACUUCCUCGCCAUCUUCCAGGGCCAGCUGGUGAUCUUCCAGGAGAGAGCUGGGCACCAUGGAAAGGGGCAGUCAGCAUCCACCACAAGGCUUUUCCAAGUGCAAGGCACUGACAGCCACAACACCAGGACCAUGGAGGUGCCAGCCCGUGCCUCAUCCCUCAACUCCAGUGACAUCUUCUUGCUGGUCACAGCCAGCGUCUGCUACCUCUGGUUUGGGAAGGGCUGUAAUGGUGAUCAGCGUGAGAUGGCACGAGUGGUGGUCACUGUCAUUUCCAGGAAGAACGAGGAAAUGGUGCUGGAGGGUCAGGAGCCUCCCCACUUCUGGGAGGCCCUGGGAGGCCGGGCCCCCUACCCCAGCAACAAGAGGCUCCCUGAGGAGGUCCCCAGCUUCCAGCCACGACUGUUUGAGUGCUCCAGCCACAUGGGCUGCCUGGUCCUCGCAGAAGUGGUGUUCUUCAGCCAGGAGGACCUGGACAAGUAUGACAUCAUGUUGCUGGACACCUGGCAGGAGAUCUUCCUGUGGCUUGGGGAAGCUGCAAGUGAGUGGAAGGAGGCGGUGGCCUGGGGCCAGGAGUACCUGAAGACCCACCCAGCAGGGAGGAGCCCGGCCACACCCAUCGUGCUGGUCAAGCAGGGCCAUGAGCCUCCCACCUUCAUUGGAUGGUUCUUCACUUGGGACCCUUACAAGUGGACUGCCCCUCCUGUGUCCCAUUGGUGCCCCUUCUCCUGCCCUGGCCCUGAUACUUGCCCCGAUUCUUGCUCCAGAGCCACCCGUCCCACAAGGAAGUGGUGGAUGGCAGCCCGGCAGCAGCAUCAACCAUCUCUGAGAUAACAGCAGAAGUCAACAACUUCCGGCUAUCCAGAUGGCCGGGCAAUGGCAGGGCAGGUGCCAUGGCCCUGCAGGCCCUCAAGGGCUCCCAGGACAGCUCAGAGAAUGAUCUGGUGCGAAGCCCCAAGUCGGGUGGCAGCAGAACCAGCAGCUCCGUCAGCAGCACCAGCGCCACGAUCAACGGGGGCCUGCGCCGGGAACAACUGAUGCACCAGGCUGUUGAGGACCUGCCAGAGGGCGUGGACCCUGCCCGCAGGGAGUUCUAUCUCUCAGACUCUGACUUCCAAGAUAUCUUUGGGAAAUCCAAGGAGGAAUUCUACAGCAUGGCCACGUGGAGGCAGCGGCAGGAGAAAAAGCAGCUGGGCUUCUUCUGAACCCAAGCCCUCUCGACUGCCCCUAUCCCCUGGACCCCAACAUACCUACAAUGCUGGGGAGGCCCUGCUUCCACUCCCCUCAGAGGCUUCUGGUCAUCCUCUGCGUGUCAGUAAAAGCAGGCAGCCCA
This is an RNA transcript of Pan troglodytes (chimpanzee), 2860 nucleotides long. It is a transcript of the gene named villin like, with no coding region annotated. The record is from RefSeq and is a predicted model, not a curated record. The transcript has 19 exons. NCBI's taxonomy places the organism in Eukaryota, Metazoa, Chordata, Mammalia, Primates, Hominidae.